This 591-nucleotide long non-coding RNA is filed under the name Homo sapiens (human). RNAcentral's name for it is "HSALNT0043597". Lineage: Eukaryota; Metazoa; Chordata; Mammalia; Primates; Hominidae. The record is from RNAcentral.
GUUGUAAUUGCACAGCUACAGGUUUGUGGUUUGCUUGUAAUCAAUAGAAUGUGACCAAAGUGAUUCUAUGGGACUUCCCAGGGUAGGUCAAAAAAUGUGAUUCAGCUUCUGCCUUGUUCUUCCUAACACUUGUGGAGGAGCCUGGAGCCACCAUUCAAGUUCAAUUUCCUGAAGCAACCAUGCUAUAAGGAAGCUCAAGCUUUAUGAAGAGGCCAUGGGUAGGCACUGCAGUCAACAGCUCCAGACUAACUCCCAGAUGACAGCCAUCUGGGGUAUUCAGCCCAGGAGGGCCUUUGAUGACUGUAACCCCAGCUUUCAUCUUACUGUAAUCACUUGAGGAACCCUGUGCAAGAACUGUCCAGCUGAGACCUUUUUAAACUUCUGACACAUUUUUUAGAAAAACAAAAUAGAGUAAUUGGGGUAAUUUGUUAUGCAGCAAUAGUAAUCAGCACACAUGCUGAAAGCCAACCAACCACCAACUUAGCAGCAUAUUAUGAACUCUUCUUUCAUGUCAUUCCAUUUCCUUCCACACCAUUUUAAUGGUUCAUUGUAUUUUAUUGUAUGGAAAAAUAUACCAUUUUAAAACUAAUU